RNAcentral lists this transfer RNA (70 nucleotides) under Felis catus (domestic cat). It matches the Rfam family "tRNA", at positions 8 to 63 of the family's 71-position model. From Rfam's summary of the family: Transfer RNA (tRNA) molecules are approximately 80 nucleotides in length. Their secondary structure includes four short double-helical elements and three loops (D, anti-codon, and T loops). Further hydrogen bonds mediate the characteristic L-shaped molecular structure. tRNAs have two regions of fundamental functional importance: the anti-codon, which is responsible for specific mRNA codon recognition, and the 3' end, to which the tRNAs corresponding amino acid is attached (by aminoacyl-tRNA synthetases). tRNAs cope with the degeneracy of the genetic code in two manners: having more than one tRNA (with a specific anti-codon) for a particular amino acid; and 'wobble' base-pairing, i.e. permitting non-standard base-pairing at the 3rd anti-codon position. Lineage: Eukaryota; Metazoa; Chordata; Mammalia; Carnivora; Felidae. The record is from Rfam by way of RNAcentral.
UGGCUCAGUCGGUUAAGUGCCUGACUUCGACUCAGGUCAUGAUCUUGCAGUUUGUGGGUUCGAGUCCCAC